RNAcentral lists this ribosomal RNA (810 nucleotides) under Triticum aestivum (bread wheat). RNAcentral describes it as "partial small subunit ribosomal RNA". The record is from RNAcentral. Lineage: Eukaryota; Viridiplantae; Streptophyta; Magnoliopsida; Poales; Poaceae.
AUGAACAUCACCCUCCUCACCCGCUGGCUCUGGCGCAUUUCGCAGGGCCACGGUGGUCUCUGGCUUGACAUUAUCCGCAACAAGUACCUGCGCGGGCAGCCCCUCGCCUUUUGUCAGAGAUCUGGUGGCUCCCAGUUUUGGCAAUCGGUUGUCCAACUGCUUCCCGUCCUUCGCAUUGGUACCUCCAUCUCGGUUGGAUCGGGUACAUCGACACUGUUCUGGUUCGACCGGUGGGCGGGAGACUCACCCUUUGCGGCCCGUUUCCCCGACCUCUUCUCCAUUGCUGUCGCCCCCCUAAUCUCCAUUGAGAGGGCCCUUAUUGACUUAGGGCGCCUCGCCUUCCGGAGGCCAUUUGGGCCUCCGGAAGCCGCCGUGUGGCUUGAGCUGCUUGAUUGCAUCGCUCUCCACGAACCGGCGUUGGAUGCGGGCCCGGACGAGGUUCGGUGGCGUCUUGAGCCUUCGGGCCAAUUCUCCACCAAGUCCCUCUACUCGGCCAUUGCCCCCUCCCGUCCCUCCCCCCCCCUCCCAGCGGUUUGGUCCAUCCGCUUGCCAUUGAAAAUUCGGAUCUUUAUGUGGCAAUGGAUCCGCGGUAGGAUCCCGUCUGGGGUGGAGGUUCGCAAACGCAAUGGCCCUGGGUCCGGUCUUUGCCCCCUGUGCGGUACCCCCGAAGACUCGAAUCACAUCUUCUUCUCCUGUGUCUCAGCUCAAUUCAUGUGGAGCUUCUUUAGGGAGACAGUGGGAGGCGAUUGGUGUCACACCAACUUCCCCGACCUCUUUGCCGAACUCCAGGACUCCCCUUCCCCCUCUUGA